AUGAUACGCGAGGGAACCUUACCUGGGCUCGAACGUAAGAUGACUGUAGGUGAAAGCUUACAUCUCUUCGGAGCAUUUUACGAGGUGCUGCAUGGUUGUCGUCAGCUCGUGCCGUGAGGUGUCGGGUUAAGUCCCAUAACGAGCGCAACCCUACCUUUAGUUGCCAUCAGGUAAUGCUGGGGACUCUAAAGGAACUGCCUACGCAAGUAGUGAGGAAGGCGGGGAUGACGUCAAAUCAGCACGGCCCUUACGUCCAGGGCUACACACGUGCUACAAUGGCCGAUACAGAGGGCAGCUACCUGGUGACAGGAUGCAAAUCUCCAAAGUCGGUCUCAGUUCGGAUCGGAGUCUGCAACCCGACUCCGUGAAGUUGGAUUCGCUAGUAAUCGCGCAUCAGCCAUGGCGCGGUGAAUACGCUCCCGGGCCUU
This 428-nucleotide ribosomal RNA is filed under the name uncultured Sphingobacteriales bacterium. RNAcentral's name for it is "bacterial SSU rRNA". It matches the Rfam family "Bacterial small subunit ribosomal RNA", at positions 954 to 1382 of the family's 1533-position model. Lineage: Bacteria; Pseudomonadati; Bacteroidota; Sphingobacteriia; Sphingobacteriales. The record is from RNAcentral.